Molecule: long non-coding RNA, 801 nt
Filed under: Homo sapiens (human)
Lineage: Eukaryota; Metazoa; Chordata; Mammalia; Primates; Hominidae
Description: HSALNT0354413
Source: RNAcentral
UCCGUAAAGUUAGUUUCACUCCACAUAGCAGCUGCUCUAUUUCUUCCCUUUUCACUUUCUCUUUCCCACCAUUUGCCUGAAGCUCCUCAUCCCCUUCCUUGUGCCUCCUCAGAAUUCUACCAGUGCACCUCAUUCAGACAUUCAUCAAGAAAAAGGCCAGCUGAAGGCAGACAGCCAACAAAACUCAGUCGUUAGCCACAGCCCUGGCUGUCCUCGUCCAUCAAGCCUGCCCAUUGUGAGCUUCCAUUCAUCUUACCUGUCUGUUAUGGAAGAGUGAAGUGGAAAAGGCAUGGAGGACUCAGAAGACCUGCUACCGAGAAGAGCCCCAUUGCAAUCAGAAGAUUAUUUAUGGAAAAAAGCAAAAUGGAGAUAUUUAAAAGACGGAGAGAGACAGCAGAAAGCUGCUUAAGAAAUUGCUUUGAGUCCACAGGAGGGAAGCACAAAGGAGAUGGGAUAAUAGUGUUAUACACUACAUGAUAUCACAGAGCUGGCAGAGUUAAUGAGUAUCUUGGACAAUUGCACCAAAUGCAAUGGAUUGGGAUCACUAAAUCAAGACGUAAUUUGAUAGAAAUAAAGUGGUCCUAGGAAAACUAACACAGCAGGCUUAUGCUGAUGGAGCAGAUGCAAGCCUGUGAGCCAGCACGGAUUUCCCAGGAACGUUGCUGUUCGCUAGGCCACGUGCUGGCCUCACAGCUGGUGAUGAGAAGGCGAAGACAGAGUCAGCUUAACCAAGGCACUGUGGGCUCUGUGAAAGCCUUUGGCUUCAUCUUAUGCACCAGAACAGGCCACUGAAGGGCUGUU